RNAcentral lists this ribosomal RNA (112 nucleotides) under Acinetobacter baumannii. RNAcentral also lists the same sequence under 1 other name. The record is from RNAcentral. Lineage: Bacteria; Pseudomonadati; Pseudomonadota; Gammaproteobacteria; Moraxellales; Moraxellaceae.
GCGACCAUAGCAAGAGUGAACCACCUGAUCCCUUCCCGAACUCAGAAGUGAAACCUCUUAGCGCUGAUGGUAGUGUGGGAUUACCCAUGUGAGAGUAAGUCAUCGCCAGCUC